AUACUUACCUGGCUUGGGAGACACUACAAUAAGGCAGCUGGUUUUCCCAGUGUGAGGCUUAUCUCCUGCACUCCAGGUGCACUGGCACUUUCGAUUUCCCCAAAGGUGUGAAGCUCUACAA
Molecule: small nuclear RNA, 121 nt
Filed under: Pavo cristatus (Indian peafowl)
Lineage: Eukaryota; Metazoa; Chordata; Aves; Galliformes; Phasianidae
Description: U1 spliceosomal RNA (ENSPSTG00000016118.1)
Rfam family: U1 spliceosomal RNA
About the family: U1 is a small nuclear RNA (snRNA) component of the spliceosome (involved in pre-mRNA splicing). Its 5' end forms complementary base pairs with the 5' splice junction, thus defining the 5' donor site of an intron.
Source: RNAcentral